UAUACCAAUAACUAAUUGCAUUAUGCAAGAUCGAUUAUGUCGAAUAAAGUUCUGGGUAGAAUUAUGAUAAUGACAUUUUCUACCCAUAUGUCUUGACCAAGUUACGUGCCAGCAGUCGCGGUAAUACGUAGUAGACUAGUGUUAUUCAUCUUUAAUAGGUUUAAAGGGUACCUAGACGGUAAAUCAAGCCCUAGGUACGGAUUUACUAGAGUUUUAUGUGAGGAGAAAGUACUGGUGGUGUAGAGAUGAAAUUUGUGAUACCAUGGAAACUGGUGGCGAAAGCAUCCUUUUAUGUAAAAACUGACGUUGAAGGACGAAGGCUUGGGUCGCAAAAAGGAUUAGAUACCCUAGUAGUCCAAGCAGACAAUGAUGAAUGUCAUAGAUUAGAUUAUUUUUGUUCUAUAAAUGAAAGUGUAAGCAUUCCACCUCACGAGUAAUUUGGCAACAUUGGAACUGAAAUCAUUAGACCGUUUCUGAAACCAG
This 483-nucleotide ribosomal RNA is filed under the name Placolecis kunmingensis. RNAcentral describes it as "SSU rRNA". It matches the Rfam family "Bacterial small subunit ribosomal RNA", at positions 414 to 929 of the family's 1533-position model. Lineage: Eukaryota; Fungi; Ascomycota; Lecanoromycetes; Lecanorales; Catillariaceae. The record is from RNAcentral.